Panicum hallii is the source of this 767-nucleotide long non-coding RNA. RefSeq lists it as uncharacterized. The record is from RefSeq and is a predicted model, not a curated record. The transcript is spliced from 3 exons. NCBI's taxonomy places the organism in Eukaryota, Viridiplantae, Streptophyta, Magnoliopsida, Poales, Poaceae.
UCGCCGGCCGUGUGGGUUGGAGCGGAGGCUGACCGGGAAGUUCUCGUGCGGCGUGUGCUUGGCCGGGUAUUCGUACCCGAAUUCUCCCUCUCUCCAGCAGCCCCCUCUCCCACGGCCUCGGAACGGAACGCCGCGAGGCGUAGGCGCGGAUUCCGGGACCGGUACGUUGCCUUCGCGCUCGCGGCGAGUCUCCGGUCCCGCCGUUUCCGCCGCUGCCGCCCGCGGGGUGCUACUGCAUUGGAGAGGAGAAGGCAGUGGAUCGGGCGGUGGACGGGUUUGGGAUGACGAGUGUGGAGGGGGCCCGUGACCUCCGCGGCCGUGCAAGCAGCCGAGAUGGAGGAGAUGCAUACCGGGAUGCUGAGGGGACCGGAGGGGAUUGCAAGGCUGGUGGAGGAGAGCAACGUGCACCAGCAGGAAUCUCAAAGUUCAUUGCCGAGGAACAAUUCGCUGGGUUCUAAUAGGGAAAAAUUGUUCUCAGCAGGUUGUAUAGAUUGUGAAGAUAAUAAUGCGUAAAGGUCAUGAGGCAGAAAGGUGUGCAGGCUUGCGCUAUCAUUUUGUUCCUCCUCUGUGAGCCGAGGAUUCAGGGAUGCAAGGACAGAACCCUGGCACCCAGCAUAGAACCUGUGAGAUGUUGUGUUUGUGAUUAGAAGAUGGACAUCAUUUUGCAACCGUCAUCUUGAUGCCUGAAAUAUACAACACCGUAUUUCCCUUUAUGAAUUAUAUGACAUAUCCUUCACUGAAGCAGAUUCGUUCCCAGUUUUGUAUUA